AUUGAACGCUGGCGGCAUGCCUUACACAUGCAAGUCGAACGGCAGCACGGGUGCUUGCACCUGGUGGCGAGUGGCGAACGGGUGAGUAAUACAUCGGAACGUACCUUAUCGUGGGGGAUAACGCAGCGAAAGCUGUGCUAAUACCGCAUACGCCCUGAGGGGGAAAGCGGGGGAUCGAAAGACCUCGCGCGAUUAGAGCGGCCGAUGACUGAUUAGCUUGUUGGUGGGGUAAAAGCCCACCAAGGCGACGAUCAGUAGCUGGUCUGAGAGGACGAUCAGCCACACUGGGACUGAGACACGGCCCAGACUCCUACGGGAGGCAGCAGUGGGGAAUUUUGGACAAUGGGGGCAACCCUGAUCCAGCAAUGCCGCGUGAGUGAAGAAGGCCUUCGGGUUGUAAAGCCCUUUUGUCAGGGAAGAAACACCGGCUCUAACACAGUCCGGGAAUGACGGUACCUGAAGAAUAAGCACCGGCUAACUACGUGCCAGCCGCCGCGGUAA
Molecule: ribosomal RNA, 501 nt
Filed under: uncultured bacterium
Lineage: Bacteria
Description: partial 16S ribosomal RNA
Rfam family: Bacterial small subunit ribosomal RNA
Source: RNAcentral